CCUUCGAUAGCUCAGUUGGUAGAGCGGUGGACUGUAGAAAUGCAUUGUUGGUAGAAAUCCAUAGGUCGCUGGUUCAAAUCCUGCUCGAAGGA
This 92-nucleotide transfer RNA is filed under the name Megaselia scalaris. RNAcentral's name for it is "tRNA-Tyr for anticodon GUA". It matches the Rfam family "tRNA". Rfam says of the family: Transfer RNA (tRNA) molecules are approximately 80 nucleotides in length. Their secondary structure includes four short double-helical elements and three loops (D, anti-codon, and T loops). The record is from Rfam by way of RNAcentral. Lineage: Eukaryota; Metazoa; Arthropoda; Insecta; Diptera; Phoridae.